GUUAGCCAUAGUCGAUCACAUGAGUUUGGCAUUAGGAGACUGUAAUUUAGCUAUCAUUUGGUGUGUUAAUUUAGAAGCAAACAUGUUUAGUACUUAAACCACAUUAUUUUAUAUCUUCAUAUGUUUAAUAAUCUGUACGUUAAUCUAACAAAAUACUCGAUGAAAGUAUGAAGCAUAUCUUAUCUUGGAAAAAAAAAAAAAAAAAAAAAAAAAGUGGACUAUCUGUAAAAAAAAAAAGACUGAAAAUAGACAUCCAUAUAGCAUGCCCAAAGUUGGACAACUGA
Molecule: long non-coding RNA, 284 nt
Filed under: Helianthus annuus (common sunflower)
Lineage: Eukaryota; Viridiplantae; Streptophyta; Magnoliopsida; Asterales; Asteraceae
Description: hypothetical non coding rna
Source: RNAcentral